Molecule: non-coding RNA, 298 nt
Organism: Otolemur garnettii (small-eared galago)
Lineage: Eukaryota; Metazoa; Chordata; Mammalia; Primates; Galagidae
Source: Rfam
GCCCGGCGCGGUGGCACGUGCCUGCAGUCCCAGCUACUCCGGAGGCUGAGACAGGAGGAUCGCUUGAGUCCAGGAGUUCCGAGCUGUAGUAAGCUAUGCCGAUUGGGUGUCCGCACUAAGCUGGGCAUCAAUAUGGUGACCUCCCGGGAGUGGGGACCACCAGGUUGCCUAAGGAGGAGUGAACCGGACCAGGUAGGAAAAAGCAGGUCAAAGCUCCUGUGCUGAUCAGUAGUGGGGAUCGCGCCUGUGAAUAGCCAAUGCACUCCAGCCUGGGCAAUAUAGUGAGACCCUGUCUCUA